CAGGGAUUGCCUUAGUAACUGCGAGUGAAGCGGCAAAAGCUCAAAUUUUAAAUCUGGCACCUUUGGUGUCCGAGUUGUAAUUUGGAGAGAUAUCUUCGGUUUGAACGCUGUCCGAAGUUCCUUGGAACAGGACGUCACAGAGGGUGAGAAUCCCGUAUGUGGAUGGCUGUUUCUUUCCAUGUGAAGUGUCUUCGACGAGUCGAGUUGUUUGGGAAUGCAGCUCAAAACGGGUGGUAAAUGUCAUCUAAAGCUAAAUAUUGGCGAGAGACCGAUAGCGCACAAGUAGAGUGAUCGAAAGAUGAAAAGCACUUUGAAAAGAGAGUUAAAAAGUACGUGAAAUUGUUGAAAGGGAAGCGCUCGAGACCAGACUCAAUCUGUGGUGAUCAACAGUGCUUUUGUACUGUGCACUUGCCACGGUUUGGGACAGCAUCGGUUUGGAUGACGGGAUAAAGACCUGAGGAACGUAGCUCUCUUUGGGGAGUGUUAUAGCCACAGGUGUAAUGCCGUCAAUCCAGACCGAGGACCGCGCUUCUGCUAGGAUGCUGUCUUAAUGGUCUUCAGCGACCCGUCUUGAAACACGGACCAAGGAGUCUAACAUCUAUGCGAGUGUUCGGGUGGAAAACCCUUGCGCAAAAUGAAAGUGAACGGAGGUGGGAACCUUUCAGGGGCACCAUCGACCGAUCCUGAUGUCUUCGGAUGGAUUUGAGUAAGAGCAUAGCUGUUAGGACCCGAAAGAUGGUGAACUAUGCCUGAAUAGGGUGAAGCCAGAGGAAACUCUGGUGGAGGCUCGCAGCGGUUCUGACGUGCAAAUCGAUCGUCAAAUUUGGGUAUAGGGGCGAAAGACUAAUCGAACCAU
RNAcentral lists this ribosomal RNA (856 nucleotides) under Pulvinula sp. Its description in RNAcentral is "partial large subunit ribosomal RNA". It matches the Rfam family "Eukaryotic large subunit ribosomal RNA", at positions 69 to 943 of the family's 3401-position model. The record is from RNAcentral. Lineage: Eukaryota; Fungi; Ascomycota; Pezizomycetes; Pezizales; Pulvinulaceae.